GAGUUGGACAUAAAAAUUCUUCUCAAAUCUAAAAUAAUUGUGGUGUAACAGUUUGGGAUUUCUGUUACACCACAAUUAUUUUAGAUUUGAGAAGAAUUUUUAUGUCCAACUC
Pelobates cultripes (western spadefoot toad) is the source of this 112-nucleotide non-coding RNA. NCBI's taxonomy places the organism in Eukaryota, Metazoa, Chordata, Amphibia, Anura, Pelobatidae. The record is from the annotation of a GenBank genome assembly.